RNAcentral lists this ribosomal RNA (253 nucleotides) under uncultured bacterium. RNAcentral's name for it is "partial 16S ribosomal RNA". It matches the Rfam family "Bacterial small subunit ribosomal RNA", at positions 524 to 776 of the family's 1533-position model. The record is from RNAcentral.
UACGUAGGGGGCAAGCGUUGUCCGGAAUCAUUGGGCGUAAAGCGCGCGUAGGCGGCCCGGUAAGUCCGUUGUGAAAGUCAAAGGCUCAACCUUUGAACGCCGAUGGAUACUGCCGGGCUAGAGUCCGGAAGAGGCGAGUGGAAUUCCUGGUGUAGCGGUGGAAUGCGCAGAUAUCAGGAGGAACACCAAUAGCGAAGGCAGCCCGCUGGGACGGUACUGACGCUGAGGCGCGAAAGCGUGGGGAGCGAACAGG